GUGCCACGUGAGUCAUCACCCCUCCUGUCCUGUCCCCCGCUCUCUCUCUCCUCUCUCCCCGUUUCGGAUCCGGCGAGAGACCAGUCCAGCCCAGCCCAGAGCCAAGCCCAAGCCCGCACGCCGAUGGCGACCGACGCCGACGAGGCCCCGUUGCUCGCCGACGAGCCCCUGCGGCCGGGAUCCUGCAGCCGGGAGCUCGAGCUGCGGGAGUUCCGCGACCGCUACGUCUUCCGCUCGCUCGACGGCGGCGGCGCCUUCGCCGUCGCCCGCUCCGACGGCUCCCUCCGCCCCCUCUCCCCAGAGGAAGCCGCAGCCGGGAGCGACUGUAAGGUCUCCAAGAUAUACGGAGUGGCCGGUAUGAUCAGGUUGCUCGCCGAAACGAGAUGAGGCAUACUUCAUGUCUCUCUUGAGAAUUGCAGAAACUACUUGUGGACUUUAUUAUUCGUAUGACAGGGAUUUGACAUUAAACUUGCAGAGGGCAUCAAAGCUGGCUGCGGGGAGGGUACAUAAGCCACUAUGGAAGCAGGCUGAUCCACGGUUUGUUUGGAACAGGAAUUUGUUAGAGAAGCUUAUUGAAACUAAGCUUGAUGAGUUCAUUACCCCACUGAUCCAAGGAAGUUUUCAGACAGAGCAAUUUACCUUGAAGGAUAGACUAGUCAGAAUAACUUUAUUCUCUCAGAGAUGCAACAGGCGUUUAGGGACAAGAAUGUGGAGAAGGGGUGCAAAUCUUGAAGGUGCCACCGCCAAUUUUGUCGAGACAGAACAGCUGGUUGAGUAUGAAGGUUAGGGGCUCUAUUCCACUUCUCUGGGAGCAGAUAGUGGAUUUAAGCUACAAACCACGACCCAGCAUUAUUGAACAUGAAGAAAUGACGAAGGUUGUUGAGCGCCACUUUCACGAUCUUUCACAAAGAUAUGGAGAUACAAUGGUUAUUGAUCUGACCGAUAAACAAGGUGAUGAAGGAAAUUUAAGCAAUGCAUUUGCUGCUGAAAUGCAGAACUUUCCUGAUAUCAGGUAUGUGCACUUUGAUUUCCAUCAUAUUUGUGGCGGAGGGAACUUUGAUAACUUGCAAGUUCUCUAUGAUGAAAUUGAGGAAGCUAUUCAGAAACAAGGAUAUUUCCUUAUGAACUCUAAAGGAGAGAUAUUGUUGGACCAAAGUGGCGUCGUUAGGUCCAACUGCAUAGAUUGCCUGGACCGCACAAAUGUGACGCAGAGUUUCCUUGCAAGAAAAUCUUUGGACUCACAGCUGCAGCGAAUGGGGGCAUUAUCAUCAGCUGAAAGUAUCUCUCAAUCUGAUAGCAUUAACGAUAAAUUUAAAAAAUUGUGGGUUGAGCAUGGUGAUGAGCUAAGCCUUGAAUAUGCUGGUUCUUAUGCCUUAAAGGGAGACCUUGUAAGGUAUGGAAGGCAGACACUGCCUGGAUUGAUUAAAGAUGGCAUGAGCGCUCUUUCCCGGUAUUAUUUGAACAAUUCUCAUGAUGGAGUGCGACAAGAUGCUCUAGAUCUUAUCAGUGGUUACUAAACGGUCAGCAAAAGCAGUUCUUCUCCUUUUCAAAUCAUUGGAUUUGAAUCUGCACCAUAUCUUCCUGUGGCGUCGGCAAUCAUAGUUGGUGGGAUCACUGUCACAACUUUCACUCUUAGUCAAGUUGGACGGAGCGCACAACACCUCAUCUCGUCCAUCAUCUUUGCUGGCUUGACAGCCGGAGUGAUAGCCUUGGUGAAAGCGAAUGGGAAGCAGCUCUGCUCUAGACCCCGAUUAUGCGGUCUGAUCUAGUUGGCGGUCCCUUUUCUCUUGUCCAGUUCUCAGAGCUUUGUUGCUGGAAUCUGAAUGGGUAUGAAGUGUUGAUAGCAAGCUACGUGUCCGCUGUCAGCGUAGAUAGAUUAAGCAAGGGAAAGGUUGGCUUGCUGGUCCGGUUAAUCUGAAGUAAAUUUUGUAACACCUGGUUAGAUUGUCUGGUUUCCUGGUAAAUAGUGGAUUGUGCAGUCAGAGACACGCCAUCUUGUAGUAAUGAAAAUUAAGGUUAAAUUGUAACAUUGAAUUCUACCGCACAGUUUCUGUAUCUUAAACUUGUGAAAUUGUCUACACAGAAUUUAAAAUUACUGAAUUCGACAGGCAUACUCCAGAGUGAGAGGUUGGCUCUUGUAUAAUGCCAGCUUAACCAAGGACAGACAGGCGUAAGCUGCCCAAAAAUAAGCGCUCCCGAGAUAGUGGUGGCAGGCCACGGUUCAAGGCUAUCAACAAAACAGGUAGCCAGCAAAAAAAAGACCGUCCCUGUUUUGCUCUCUUUCAUCCCUCUCUUUGCCGGCUGCCAUCCACAUUGGGAUCUCGAAUUCACCUUGGAUUUUGUAGCGUAGGGC
This 2353-nucleotide ribosomal RNA is filed under the name Triticum aestivum (bread wheat). RNAcentral's name for it is "partial small subunit ribosomal RNA". Lineage: Eukaryota; Viridiplantae; Streptophyta; Magnoliopsida; Poales; Poaceae. The record is from RNAcentral.